UACGUAGGGGGCAAGCGUUGUCCGGAAUUAUUGGGCGUAAAGAGCGCGUAGGCGGUCCGAUAAGUCGGCUGUGAAAGUCAGGGGCUCAACCCUUGAAAGCCGGCCGAUACUGUCGGACUAGAGUCCGGAAGAGGCAAGUGGAAUUCCCGGUGUAGCGGUGAAAUGCGCAGAUAUCGGGAGGAACACCGGUGGCGAAGGCGGCCCACUGGGCAGUCACUGACGCUGAGGCGCGAAAGCUCGGGGAGCGAACGGG
RNAcentral lists this ribosomal RNA (253 nucleotides) under uncultured bacterium. RNAcentral's name for it is "partial 16S ribosomal RNA". It matches the Rfam family "Bacterial small subunit ribosomal RNA", at positions 524 to 776 of the family's 1533-position model. The record is from RNAcentral.